CACAAAGGUCACCACUGGCAGUCUCCUAUGGCCCGAUGUCCGGAAGGGCCCCUCCGUGAAGCUAACCAAGUUUCCACAGCACCUGCUCGGCCUGGUGUGUCUGCCCGGCCCCUCCCCUGCUCACCACCUACUUUGUGCAGCUGGAUGGCGAGCUCCUGCAUCUCCGCUUCGAGCCGGUCGGCAUAGGCCAGCUCCAGGGCAUCGCUGGGGGGACGGGCGCUGCUGUGCCAGCGGGCGAUGGCAGAGGUCAUCUUCCUCUUCGGCCCAAACAAGCUGUAGGGGUGAAGGAGAGAGGUGUACAGGUCUGCGGUGCGCACAGGGGUGCCAUGGACCGUCCUUCCACCAAGACGGUCCCCUAGGAAAGGUCCCACCUUUGAAGGGGGAGAGUGGCCCCCAGGAUCCUGGGACAGAUGACAGAAACAAAGGGUUCUCCAAAGUGACCCCGGUUGGGGCUGGCCUCCCCUGCCUGCUUCCUCUCCCUGCCUGGCUGCUGCUUUCACUCAACAGGGAGGUCAGGCCAGCUGGGGCCAGGCCGUGCAUGGUCUCCCACCAACUCCGGAAGCUCUCAGAAGUGGACAGCAGAAGUCCGGAUGCCCUUACCACAGCAGCGUCAGCGGGCCAGCCUGGGGACCGGAGAGGCCGGCCGGCUGCAGAAGCGAGCAGACUUCCAGACAGGGUGGCUCGUUCCACCCCAACGCGGGGACGUUGGGAGCUAAGCUAGCCCCUUUGGGCUGGGGGAAACGAGAGGCCCGCGGCCACGAAGGGCCCCUCUGCGCUCACGUGAUGCCGAUUUCCUUCAGGUCGCUCUCCGUGAGGGUCAGGAAGAUGCGGAGGUCCACGUCCUGCUCCUCGAACACCUGCAGAAAGAAACCCUGGGGAGCCCCGGCAUGGCCGUCACAGUGACCCUGGCCCUGCGGAGGGAGCGUGGGGUGCAGGCACGUCAGCCGCUUCUCCUGAAUCCUCAUUUCCAAGUUGCUCCAAGCUUCUGGGUGAUUCAGAGUUUUGAAAAAAGUUAUUCUGACUACUUCUGCCAGUUUAUUGCCUUUGAUGGAGGAGCCAACUUUCAAAGGUUGUUACUCUGCCAUUUUCCUUAACCUCCUUUCUCAAACAGCCUUAAGAUCUCACCACCACCACGCCCUCUCCCAUCAACA
This is a long non-coding RNA of Lontra canadensis (Northern American river otter), 1151 nucleotides long. RefSeq lists it as uncharacterized. The record is from RefSeq and is a predicted model, not a curated record. The transcript is spliced from 3 exons. NCBI's taxonomy places the organism in Eukaryota, Metazoa, Chordata, Mammalia, Carnivora, Mustelidae.